This is a long non-coding RNA of Raphanus sativus (radish), 1700 nucleotides long. RefSeq lists it as uncharacterized. NCBI's taxonomy places the organism in Eukaryota, Viridiplantae, Streptophyta, Magnoliopsida, Brassicales, Brassicaceae. The record is from RefSeq and is a predicted model, not a curated record. The transcript is spliced from 3 exons.
AGGAAAUGUGAGUAUUAAUAGCAUCAGAUUAUAGCAUUUUUGAUAAUUCUGCUAUUGUAUACCAACAUUGGCUUUUUUAAUAGCGUUUAUAAAUUUAAAACGCUAUGUUUAGUAUCGCGGGAAAAUAAAAAAAAUGUUGGCCGCAUUAAUUUGUUAAUUUGUUAAGUUUGGCUCCAAUAACUAGAAGAAAAAAAAUAUUUUACCACCAAAACAAUAUCUCUUCCGCCUUCGUCCUCUGCUCUUCACACCAGAUGAAAGCUUUGUCUGAAAUUUUAACCAUUACUUCGUUCUGUCUGUAUAUGCUUUAGUGGUUUCUGGGCUGGUGAAAGUUUGUUACUUUCUCAGUUUCAGCUUCUUGAAAUGCUUAAUUGGUUUUUGGGUUGGUGAUCGAUUGAAGAGGGUUUGAUCGAUUGUUUCGGGGUUGAUCAAACCCAUCAACAGAGCCGCCGUUCACAGAGUCUGCUCCGGACAAGUCAUCUUAGACCUCUCAGCUCGGCCAUCAAGGAGCUUGUGGAGAACAGUCUCGACGCUGGAACCACCAGUAUAGAAAUCACCUCUGUGACUACGGCGAAUACUACUUCCAAGUCAUUGACAACGGCUGCGGUAUUUCCCCAUCCAAUUUCAAGGUUCUCGUGCUUAAGCACCACACUUCGAAAUUGGAGGAUUUCACAGAUCUUCAGAGUUUGACUAUGGUGGGUUUCAGAGGAGAAGCUCUUAGCUCUCUAUGUGCAUUGGGGAAUCUCACAGUGGAGACGAGGACAAAGAAGGAGCAAGUGGCUACGCUCUUAACCUUUGAUCAUUCCGGUUUGUUGGUUGCUGAGAAGAAGACUGCGCGCCAAAUUGGCUAAGAAAUUGUGGAAGAGGGUGAAGCUUCCUAGGAACUACGAGAAGGCUUUUGAAACCAUUGACAAGCAUUGGGUAAGUGAGCUUACCGUGUACAUAUAUUGAUGCAACAAGAGUGGAGGUUUUAUUCUGUUUCUUUUGGUGGUGUGUGUGGUUUUAUUCUGUUGGUGUUUCUAUGUCUCUUUUGGUGGGUUUUGUAGAUAUCAGAUACCACUUGCAUUGGUGGGGUUGUUAGCAAGUUUAGCACUUUGGGAGUUGUUCAAGUACUGUAGUGACACCAAUCUAUCUGCAUUCUUGGGUUUGUUUUGUUUGUUCACUGCUAUUUUCAGUUACUUGGAGCCUCUUGCAGUUGCUAUAGAUAAAGAGAAGUGGAGCAUGUGUGUUUACUCAAAGUGAAACUGAGUUUGAUGGAGAUUGUUGAGUUGGAUAUGGCUUCUCCUUUCUUCUCUCUCUCUCUCUCGCAGGAUUGGUUUUCUUCAUGGUUCAGCAUCAUCAUCAACAACAAGAUCCAUCUCAGCUAAUACUUAGUCGGAGAUCCAGCAGCACUAAGACAGGUCCAAGACAGAUUGAGAAGCAGAAUUCAAGGUGGAGGACCUCGUGAAGCUUUAAAUGGAGAUGCAUGUUACUGAGGAUAAUGGAGACAAAGGGAUAAUUGGAGAUUAAUUCUUGAUUUGUAGAUCAACUCUAUGGUUAAAAUGAUAAUCGAGUUUGUAAUUUGUUAUAUGUUUGAGUGUAAAACUGCAUUUGAUUGUAUUUUUAUUUAUAUUUUAAUUGUAGCAAAAGUUUGUAUUUUAAUUUAUAUGUUUUGUGUGUAAAAUUAAAAGAUAAAAAAUGAUAAUUAGAGUUUUGAUUUGUAA